AGAGUUUGAUCCUGGCUCAGGACGAACGCUGGCGGCGCGCCUAACACAUGCAAGUCGAACGAGCGAGAGAGAGCUUGCUUUCUCAAGCGAGUGGCGAACGGGUGAGUAACGCGUGAGGAACCUGCCUCAAAGAGGGGGACAACAGUUGGAAACGACUGCUAAUACCGCAUAAGCCCACGACCCGGCAUCGGGUAGAGGGAAAAGGAGCAAUCCGCUUUGAGAUGGCCUCGCGUCCGAUUAGCUAGUUGGUGAGGUAACGGCCCACCAAGGCGACGAUCGGUAGCCGGACUGAGAGGUUGAACGGCCACAUUGGGACUGAGACACGGCCCAGACUCCUACGGGAGGCAGCAGUGGGGAAUAUUGCACAAUGGGGGAAACCCUGAUGCAGCGACGCCGCGUGGAGGAAGAAGGUCUUCGGAUUGUAAACUCCUGUUGUUGAGGAAGAUAAUGACGGUACUCAACAAGGAAGUGACGGCUAACUACGUGCCAGCAGCCGCGGUAAAACGUAGGUCACAAGCGUUGUCCGGAAUUACUGGGUGUAAAGGGAGCGCAGGCGGGAAGACAAGUUGGAAGUGAAAUCCAUGGGCUCAACCCAUGAACUGCUUUCAAAACUGUUUUUCUUGAGUAGUGCAGAGGUAGGCGGAAUUCCCGGUGUAGCGGUGGAAUGCGUAGAUAUCGGGAGGAACACCAGUGGCGAAGGCGGCCUACUGGGCACCAACUGACGCUGAGGCUCGAAAGUGUGGGUAGCAAACAGGAUUAGAUACCCUGGUAGUCCACACCGUAAACGAUGAUUACUAGGUGUUGGAGGAUUGACCCCUUCAGUGCCGCAGUUAACACAAUAAGUAAUCCACCUGGGGAGUACGACCGCAAGGUUGAAACUCAAAGGAAUUGACGGGGGCCCGCACAAGCAGUGGAGUAU
Molecule: ribosomal RNA, 919 nt
Filed under: uncultured Faecalibacterium sp.
Lineage: Bacteria; Bacillati; Bacillota; Clostridia; Eubacteriales; Oscillospiraceae
Description: bacterial SSU rRNA
Rfam family: Bacterial small subunit ribosomal RNA
Source: RNAcentral